RNAcentral lists this ribosomal RNA (1441 nucleotides) under Staphylococcus saprophyticus. Its description in RNAcentral is "bacterial SSU rRNA". It matches the Rfam family "Bacterial small subunit ribosomal RNA". The record is from RNAcentral. Lineage: Bacteria; Bacillati; Bacillota; Bacilli; Caryophanales; Staphylococcaceae.
UGGCGGCGUGCUAUACAUGCAAGUCGAGCGAACAGAUAAGGAGCUUGCUCCUUUGACGUUAGCGGCGGACGGGUGAGUAACACGUGGGUAACCUACCUAUAAGACUGGGAUAACUUCGGGAAACCGGAGCUAAUACCGGAUAACAUUUGGAACCGCAUGGUUCUAAAGUGAAAGAUGGUUUUGCUAUCACUUAUAGAUGGACCCGCGCCGUAUUAGCUAGUUGGUAAGGUAACGGCUUACCAAGGCGACGAUACGUAGCCGACCUGAGAGGGUGAUCGGCCACACUGGAACUGAGACACGGUCCAGACUCCUACGGGAGGCAGCAGUAGGGAAUCUUCCGCAAUGGGCGAAAGCCUGACGGAGCAACGCCGCGUGAGUGAUGAAGGGUUUCGGCUCGUAAAACUCUGUUAUUAGGGAAGAACAAACGUGUAAGUAACUGUGCACGUCUUGACGGUACCUAAUCAGAAAGCCACGGCUAACUACGUGCCAGCAGCCGCGGUAAUACGUAGGUGGCAAGCGUUAUCCGGAAUUAUUGGGCGUAAAGCGCGCGUAGGCGGUUUCUUAAGUCUGAUGUGAAAGCCCACGGCUCAACCGUGGAGGGUCAUUGGAAACUGGGAAACUUGAGUGCAGAAGAGGAAAGUGGAAUUCCAUGUGUAGCGGUGAAAUGCGCAGAGAUAUGGAGGAACACCAGUGGCGAAGGCGACUUUCUGGUCUGUAACUGACGCUGAUGUGCGAAAGCGUGGGGAUCAAACAGGAUUAGAUACCCUGGUAGUCCACGCCGUAAACGAUGAGUGCUAAGUGUUAGGGGGUUUCCGCCCCUUAGUGCUGCAGCUAACGCAUUAAGCACUCCGCCUGGGGAGUACGACCGCAAGGUUGAAACUCAAAGGAAUUGACGGGGACCCGCACAAGCGGUGGAGCAUGUGGUUUAAUUCGAAGCAACGCGAAGAACCUUACCAAAUCUUGACAUCCUUUGAAAACUCUAGAGAUAGAGCCUUCCCCUUCGGGGGACAAAGUGACAGGUGGUGCAUGGUUGUCGUCAGCUCGUGUCGUGAGAUGUUGGGUUAAGUCCCGCAACGAGCGCAACCCUUAAGCUUAGUUGCCAUCAUUAAGUUGGGCACUCUAGGUUGACUGCCGGUGACAAACCGGAGGAAGGUGGGGAUGACGUCAAAUCAUCAUGCCCCUUAUGAUUUGGGCUACACACGUGCUACAAUGGACAAUACAAAGGGCAGCUAAACCGCGAGGUCAUGCAAAUCCCAUAAAGUUGUUCUCAGUUCGGAUUGUAGUCUGCAACUCGACUACAUGAAGCUGGAAUCGCUAGUAAUCGUAGAUCAGCAUGCUACGGUGAAUACGUUCCCGGGUCUUGUACACACCGCCCGUCACACCACGAGAGUUUGUAACACCCGAAGCCGGUGGAGUAACCAUUUAUGGAGCUAGCCGUCGA